AGAGUUCUGGGAGAGAACAUAGGCAGGGUUAGGCAUGGGAGAAUGUGUCUGACUCACAACGAAGGAAUGAAGCAUGCCGGGCCUCAUCUCGGACCUGCACACUGCCCCUCAUUAUGUUCAUGAUCGGGUGAGGAUUCUUGUCUCAUGUCUUUCCAAGUCCUUGCAAGGCAGUGUCUCUCUGCUUACAGCAUUCUAUUCCAGCAGGAAAUGGAUAAAGAGUGGCCAGAAGGUGAAAAAGAAGAGAUGGCCCCCUGAAAGGGACAUCCACAUUUAUUUGAGCACCUACCAGUGGAACACCAUCAAUCACAUGGUGGACUCGUUGGGUUCCAAGACAGAUAGGACACCAUGAACAGAUGCUAUGGCUGAGACUGCUGGCCUGGGCAGCACUGUACUUUUUGCUUUUCCUGGAAGGGGAAGAAGAGAACAAUCCACUUUCUGUAUGGUCCUGUCCUUCAUUCGAGUUUAUAACGUUGUUGUGGACAUUGUGCUGACACACCUAAGGGUGGUUUGGAAACAGUUGGCAUGUUUUCUUUAUGUAUUUUUCACCUCUGCCAUCUGUAACUGAGAAAGGGUAUCCUUCCUCCUGCCAGUUCUCCCCAGCUGAAGUCUACACAAUCUUUACCCAGACAUCAGAAACAGCUGUCUCAGGCAGAAGGCGCUUGACUCCAGGUGGGCGCUCAGCAGCAAGGGCAGCAAAGUGCUGGGCACACAGAAGGACAACGUGAUGAAGCGCCAUCACAUGGCUGGUAGCCUGUGGUGAGUCACCGGACUUCUCGACUCCCACCUCACUAGGGUGGAAGGAACAGUAACCACAACGCUCUGCAACUCGGGCUGCGCCCGCAUGAUUGGAAACAAUCUGUGAAAUUGUGGAGUGAACAACCCCGAAGAAAUAGACUUCUAAUUCUAGCCUUUUGGAGAUUAUUAACCCAACUCCCAGAUUCUACAGAUGAGAAAAGGGAGGCCCAGGGAGGUGGAGAAACAUGUGUAGGAUCACAGAGAUGCCUUCAGCUCUCCAAAACAACAGAAAUGAUCAAAGAUGGAGGCAAGAAGACCAGAGAACCCUAAAUGUUUACUGUCUCCAGUGUGUUUGGAAACAGCUUGGACCAGUGUAGAGUGCUGGAACAGAGAGUCAAGAGCAUCAGGUUCGAUUCCCACCCUUACAAACUGCUCAGCCUAUGGAAAUUACUUUAUGUUUCAGGCCUCACUCUUGCCAUCUUUAAAAUGGCGACACAUGUACACACCCCUCCACAGUAAAUACAGAGGUCCUGC
RNAcentral lists this long non-coding RNA (1269 nucleotides) under Homo sapiens (human). Its description in RNAcentral is "long independently transcribed non-coding RNA 2703 (LINC02703)". Lineage: Eukaryota; Metazoa; Chordata; Mammalia; Primates; Hominidae. The record is from RNAcentral.